AGAUUGAACGCUGGCGGCAUGCCUUACACAUGCAAGUCGAACGGCAGCACGGGAGCAAUCCUGGUGGCGAGUGGCGAACGGGUGAGUAAUAUAUCGGAACGUGCCCAGUCGUGGGGGAUAACGUAGAGAAAUUUACGCUAAUACCGCAUACGAUCUAAGGAUGAAAGCGGGGGACCUUCGGGCCUCGCGCGAUUGGAGCGGCUGAUAUCAGAUUAGGUUGUUGGUGAGGUUAAAAGCUCACCAAGCCGACGAUCUGUAGCUGGUUUGAGAGAACGACCAGCCACACUGGGACUGAGACACGGCCCAGACUCCUACGGGAGGCAGCAGUGGGAAUUUUGGACAAUGGGCGAAAGCCUGAUCCAGCAAUGCCGCGUGCAGGAAGAAGGCCUUCGGUGUAACUGCUUUUGUACGGAACGAAAGGUCUGCCCUAAGUACGGUGGCCCAGUGACGUACCGUAAGAAUAAGCGACCGCUAACUACGUGCCAGCAGCCG
This 492-nucleotide ribosomal RNA is filed under the name uncultured soil bacterium. Its description in RNAcentral is "bacterial SSU rRNA". It matches the Rfam family "Bacterial small subunit ribosomal RNA", at positions 26 to 517 of the family's 1533-position model. The record is from RNAcentral.